GUCAAGCGAUCAAUGUGACGUAGGCGCCUAAGAAGACAGUUUGUUUACAUCCAUGGUAUUAUACAUAUUGCAGCCCGAUGAGUAAGCAACUGUACUUCUGUGGUUGUGAAAUUCUUUUUCGGAUUUGUAGCAGAUAGUAACCAAGAGCUAGCCGAGAACACGGACCCAAGCAGCCGCAAUCCGGAUACAACGGAGCCGAGUGAAAAGGCUUCAGGAUCCAAGAUGCUUAGUGAGCGACCAUUGAAAAGAGCGGGUAAACGCCCAGGCCGUAAACCAUCAAGAAUAGAUGUCAAAGCUAAACUUGAACGGAGCCGACAAAGUGCAAGGGAAUGCAGAGCACGGAAAAAGCUUCGUUAUCAGUACUUGGAGGAGUUAGUGCUAAACAGGGAACAGGCUAUAUUUGCUCUCAGAGAUGAGCUGGAGGUGUAUCGGAGCUGGUGCGAUGAUGUCGAUAAGGGCAAGGCGUCGGCGGAGGUGCGCGAGAAGAUUCUCACCGCCGAAGACGACGAUAUAAAGAAAGAGCCAGAAGAACCGGAAGUGAACGAUACAGGUCAAGUUGAAUAACAUUUGACAUUUGUCCAGAGAGGUUGGAGGAUCGGGAUCUUGUCAAAAGGUGGAAGAUUGAACUGUUGGUGUAGUGUGACGCCGCAAUUUGUUGUUCGUUACGGAGAGGGUUGGUUAAGCUGUUGGAAGUAUUGGCCUUGGGACAACUUUUUCCUAGUUGGUGCCUCGAGGUUGACUUUUGAACCUGAAUUGUCUUCUAGUAUUAUUUGUAUAUAAUGAAUUCAGGUAUCUUGCUCAGGCAAAGGUUACUGUGUUCGUCUGGGGUCUGCUCAGGCGAAGGUUACUUUGUUCGUCUGGGGUCUUCUUAGGCGAAGGUUACUUUGUUCGUCUGGGGUCUGUGACAAAGCAAACAUGACAUGAUCUUAUUACCAUUAGGACAUAUAUAUGGUACAGAGUGCAAGCUUUAUUAUGAACUGUUAUGUUUGAAAAACUCAGAAGAUCAAACUCUUUCUCUGCGCAUGAUACCUGAUGAGAAACGUGUGACUUAUAUAUUUUACUAACAUUUAUCACUGUUCGUAUAGUAACAUUUGUUUAAUAAUUCCAUAUUUUGUUAUGUUGGCAACGAACCAUACCUAACAUAUUUGUUUUCGGAUUUUAAAACAAUUGUAAUUUGAAGCAAUACUUCGUUUAUGCAACCGGAAACACCGUGUUUGAAUGCUACGCAUGGUGGCUCGCGCAAGACUACAACGGAAGUCUUUAAAAGAAGCAACUUCAAUGCAACCAAAAACAGUUUAAUUUGAAUUUUUUGUUUGUUCGUGUCAGUCUAUACCAGGGCAUAAAGGCAUGUGCAUAAGAGCUUUCUUCUGACAUAAAAACAAAUAAUUUUCUACGGAGCAUUCCAAUCCAGGGAAGUUAAGUAUGGUUCCUCUUGUCUUUGAUCUUGUGACGGUGAUGCGGGUAGCAGGUGCCUUGGCGGUGCCUGAUGUGCGUGGAGGGAUUUAUUUCCGUUUAGGGAAACAUGUAAAUAUUGAUGUAUAUAGAUCUGGCGUGUGCGCAUCACCAAGGGCGUAUAUUGAGUAAAUGGACAUUGCAUAUGUAACCUUCUAUACAGAUGCAUAUCCAGAACGUGACGCACCGCUGCUCAUAAUUCGUAUAGAGGCCGACGACUUUCAAAAUAUAUUUUCUGUAUUAAUGGAGAAAAAUUGGUUGUCAUGGCAUUUCUGACAGCAGGUAGGAAAUGGCUUAUGUUGUAAUAUCAUAUGGCAAUAUGUACUUCAUAGUUAAUAAUUACAUUGCAUGUUUAUUUCUUAUCACAAUUUGGAUGAUUGUUACAUAGUUUCAACACUGUUUCAUUACCAUUUGUGUUUUGGAUUUGUUUCGUUUUUCAGACCUUGUGAGUGAUUGUCAGCUUUGACGACAUGCACAGCUGGAUGUUAUGUUUUCUUUACUUUAUUUGCUCUUUCCCCUUCUGAAUUAUUGUUCAGGCUUUCUAGGCGCUGCAAAUCUAAAACUGAAACUAGAAAAUAACGAACAAGGUGAAUGACAGAUUGUCUGUCCUGAGUGAAUAAAUUAUAUAUGUAUAUGUCCCAUGCAAGGAUAUUUCGUCAUUCAAAGUUGUGAUUAGGCUAUUCUAUAUCAUACGAUAAUAUCCCUAUUUGGGACAUAACGUGUAGAGCCAUCCUUGCAAUGGCCAACAUACAAUACACUUCGCUGAAAUCAACCUAUUGUUGUAAUUUAUGGUGUAAUGUUUAGAUGAUGGCAUACACAAUUCUAUUCAACAGGACACUGUACUACGUCAUAUUGCUUCAACUGAACAUGACCAAUGUUAAACAUGCCAAUUGCUAAAUAUAGGUAUACUAUUGUAUAAAUACCGAAUCAGAUAGACAUACACUGAAGCUCGAAAUUAAAUAUGAAGAGGCAGUUAACUUUGUUAUGGAACAUUUUGUGUCGACUAAUCCAACUUGUAUGUACCGAUGAUGCAUCCACAAUAACAAUGUCCCACAGCAAGAUAAACAAUUAUAGGCUGUCCAGCCCCUCUUAAGUCUAUGGAGUUUUAUUCCAAGUUUGCCUUGUUUCAGUGUGCAUGCCAUGUGGUUUAAUUUCUCCAUAUUGACUUAGCAAUAAAAUGACAUGACUGCUGUUAGCAUAUGUACCAUUAUGCAAGUAAACACUUUCUGCAUAACCAACGUACAGCAAGACCAGCUUCUGUUGCAGUUAAAAUGGCACUACCAGCGGUUAGGGGCCUACAAUUUAUUGACCGGUUGUACCAGACGAAUAUUUUCCUGUCACUGCAUUGCGCCACUCAAGUUUAUUUUUGGAAAGGAAGAGCUAAAAAUAUUCAUAUUUUGAGAUCCACAACAAAAUUAUUUGUACAUGAUACAAUUUAUACAAACGUAGGAGGGUUUCGUUCAGUGUUUUCUGGAAGGAUUUGUUUAAAAAAAAUCCCAGACCAACCAAAGAAUAUGAAAUGGUCGACCCCUUGUCUAUCAUGGUGUUUUGUUCAAGUAUGUGUAUGUUCGGGUGAUGGAAACAAUGAGUUGCACAUUUAGACACACGUCUGUUGUAAAGCUUGUAUAUGUAUCCAUAAAGGUUUCAACAAGUGAUCGGUGAAGCUGAAAAUAACAAAUACAUGUAGCUUGAUCAAUUUAAUUUAUUUUACCUUGUAAAACAUGUAAAUUCAAGAUGUAUGCAUUGAAAGGUAAAAUGAACCUUAUAUGUUCAGGUUUUUUUAAAAAUUGGAUUAUUUUUUCUGCAAGACCCUAGAGGUCAUGUUGUAUUAUUACAAAAGCAAUAGGAAGGCAUCUCAGGUUUGUCAAAUUUGUUUUGAAUCAUGUAUCAUAUUCAGAUGUUAUUUUGUUGUGUGUAAAUAUUGUUUUAUGAAUUAUGUUAUGUUUCUAAUGGCUAAUUGUUAACUCAUUAUCAAUUUUGAAUUUACACUUUAAGAUAAUUGUAUGUAAUUUAGUCGGAGUCUUGGUCGUUACUCGUAACACCAACUCCCACACUGAACAUACUAUGACAAGUACCUUGUCUGGCUGUAACAACGGAAUAUUUAAUAAUAGUCCUAAGCUUCAUACUUAGCACGUUUUGUUUUCCCUUUGUGUAAGACGUUUUCUUUGUACUUUAAUGGAUACGUCUAGGGGGUUAUAAAUUGUUUAUUAACUUG
This 3667-nucleotide unclassified non-coding RNA is filed under the name Haliotis rufescens (red abalone). Its description in RNAcentral is "uncharacterized LOC124149675, transcript variant X5". The record is from RNAcentral. Lineage: Eukaryota; Metazoa; Mollusca; Gastropoda; Lepetellida; Haliotidae.